Long non-coding RNA from Coregonus clupeaformis (lake whitefish), 275 nucleotides. RefSeq lists it as uncharacterized. The transcript has 3 exons. The record is from RefSeq and is a predicted model, not a curated record. NCBI's taxonomy places the organism in Eukaryota, Metazoa, Chordata, Actinopteri, Salmoniformes, Salmonidae.
CGCUCAUUUACAGGCAUGAACCAUUCAUCCAGGUUGAGGCUUGCUAUCAGCAGGAACAUUGAGCACUCCGUGCCAGUGCUACAGAGACAGACUGGUCCAAGGACCUCCGGAGCCUUCUGACCAACUACCUGCGAUCUCUCCAGAGCACAGAGAAGUGAGUCUUCUGGGCUAUGGAACUCUAGAGCAGCAAAUCAACAAACCUGCCACCCUGUUGUCAGCUAUCCGCAGACUUUCAACGGCCACAUUUUGGGGAUGACCAAAUGCAAUAGUUUUGU